Molecule: long non-coding RNA, 566 nt
Filed under: Mustela putorius furo (domestic ferret)
Lineage: Eukaryota; Metazoa; Chordata; Mammalia; Carnivora; Mustelidae
Description: lncRNA (ENSMPUG00000024440.1)
Source: RNAcentral
GCUAUGACAAUGGUCUGACUUUGUCUCCCCUUUUCACCCCUACAGUCUCUUUUCCACACAAUAACUAGACAGAUGGUUCAAAAUGUAUCAGGUCAUGUCGCUCCUCUACUCAGAUCCCCCAAAAUCUUCCCACUUGCUCAGUUUUUUUUUUUUAAGCUUAUUUAAAGUUUUUUUUUUUUUAAGCCCAUUACAUAAACCCUCUUCUUGCUCAGUCUUUUCUAGGUAUCCUGGGUUCUUUGCUUUUCCACAAACAUACGAAGAACCCUCCUCAAGACCUUUCCAUCGCUCUCUUCUGCUGAACCACUCUUCUUCCAGGUAGAAGAGGAAUUACAAACCCCAAGUUGAAGAUGAAAAAAGCCCCAGUUUGAGAUGCAUGUGGCUAGGUCUUGCAAGGUAACACCUGAACAAGGGCCUCAUCUUUGGACCAUCUCUGGAGUCCGGUUCCCUCUACUUGGAGCUGCGCUUCAAGGGACAGCAUUUACAUUGAAGCCCAUGUGAAGGCUAUUCCUGGAAUUGUACAAUCUGACAAUCCUAACUGACUCCCAUAUAUUUUGGUUCAGGACACC